RNAcentral lists this long non-coding RNA (10078 nucleotides) under Gossypium barbadense (sea-island cotton). Its description in RNAcentral is "long non-coding RNA (GBAR_LNC013111)". Lineage: Eukaryota; Viridiplantae; Streptophyta; Magnoliopsida; Malvales; Malvaceae. The record is from RNAcentral.
ACUUAAAUAUUUUUAUUCUAAUAAAAUAGUAAUAAUAGAAUGGUUUAAUAACUUAUUUUUUUCUCUCUUUUUUGAGGCUUCUAAAUUGAACCGUUUCUUAUUUUGGGGAAGCUGCAACCUUAUCAGCUAAGGCAGAAGUUGUCCCAUCCACACUCCCGGAAUCAUCUCCCACAGAGCUUUUAAACCUUUCAGCCAGUUUAGCCACCCCCGACUGAAACUCAGGGUCUGUUACUAUUUUUUUCAAUUGUUCCCCUUGUACUCCGCCUUCAUGCAAUGCAGCAAUAAAGCCGGACAUAACUGAAGCCGUAAAUACCCUCAUGGAUUCUGGGGAUGCUGCAACCUCAUCAGCUAAGGCAGAAGUUGUCCCGUCCACACUCCCGGAAUAAUCUCCAACAGAGCUUUUAAACAUUUCAUCGAGUUUACCCAUCCUCGACUUAAAGGUAGGGUCUGCUAUUAUUUUGUUGAAUUGCUCCCCAAAGUCGGACAUAGCAAGUUCUGGGGAUGCCGCCUCAUCCUCCUUUUUUCCUACUGCAAAUUGGAUUGAGAGCAUCAAAGCCAAUGAGAAUACAACGAAAGAAACCUUCGCCAUGUUUUUUUUUUGUUUUUUUUUUUAAAAUUUUAAGAAAAAAAAGUAAGAUAUAUUUUUAUCGAUGGAACUGAGACCAAUUUUAAAGAGUUUAAAAUGAGAUUUUUUUUGCCAAAUUUAGGGGCGGUUGAAUGGUCUGGUGCUUAAUAGCCAUACACCAUUAACAGCCAAAGUAUGUAAUUUUUCUUUAUUUUGACUCUUUUCUCUUUCUUCCCCCUUUUAUUGUUUCCCGAAAUAGGGUUUAUUUUAAUCAAGUUUCAAUGUUCUUCAGAUGGGAAGAAAUGGGACUUCAAGAUUAGGGAUUAAAACUUAAAAGGAAGAAGAUAAAUAGGGUAAAUAGGUAAUGAGUAUUUUGUGUAUAUUUCCAUUCAAUACAACUUUAAUCAUGGGCGAAGCCAGAACAAUUAUUUAGGGGGCGAAUGAAAUUUUAAUUUUUUUAUAGUCUAUAUCUUUAUAAUUUUUAAGGGAUCAAAUUGAAUUUUUAUAAUUUCAGGAGGGGCCAAAGUGUAAUUUUAUAAUUUUGUAAUUUUUUUAAAGGCCUAAAUAAUAAUUUUUCAUUUUAGGGGGGCUAGGGCCCUGCCAGCCCCCUAGCUGCGCCUCUGACUUUAAUCACCAUUUAAAAAUCUAAUUUUGACAAUUCAUAAAUGAGUCUUACAUAUUUAAACAUCGAUAAUUAAUGUAUUGAGAAGCGAUGGAUGAAAAAGUACCGAUAGACGUUGGAAAAAAUUAAUAAUGCAUAAUAUGAAUUAUACUUAAUGUUAAUAUAACAUUUAUUUUUAAUUAUCCUAAAUUCAAGGUAAAAGAUAUGAUUUAAUGCUUUUCUUAAUUAGUGUAUCAAAUUCGGAAAUAAUUUUUCAAAAAAAUAUUGGCCAAAAAACUUUACAAAAGUUAGAUCUUACAAUUUUUAGAAAGAAAAUUUUAGCUUUGAAUAAAACCGUGGUUAAUGCCACUCUUUACAAUAUUGAAAAAAAAUUUAUUAAACCUAAGCUUAGAACAUUAAGCGAACAUCAGAUCUAAUGUGUAUUAUCGUCCGUCACCAGUGACAGUUUAAUUUCAUAUUCAAGCGUACCUCUCACAUAUUAUAGUGGACCUUCCAGAAUAAUCAAUCGUUCAAUUACAUCUUCAUCUGUCUGAGUUAUGCAGCCAGUAAUUUUAUUGACAUUCCGUUGAAUGUAUAUCAAUUUUUAAUAAUAAUAUAUAAAUGAAACAUAGUUAUAUGGUUCUAAUAAAAACAACCCGGAUCAAUAUAAGAAAAGGCUACAGACACACCAAAAGGGGCAAGGAUCGACUCUGCUUUUUGGAACAGGACGUCAUUCUCCGCUCCAAAUUGGCCUCCGUUGAUACAUAGUAUCAACAAACACAAUACGAUCUUUGUUUGUGGAGUUAAAAAUGAAUAAAACUAAAUUGCAUAUAUAAUUCUUAAAAGGAAAGAAAAAAGUAAAAGUAAAAUUGAGCACAUUACUUAGAAUCCGUAUGUUUCUAGCAGAGACGAGUCCUCCAUGAGGGAUGAAAUUGAAAAGUAAGAAUAAAGCCCACAGGAAGCAGCAAAGGAUGAGAGAAAAUGAAGCUUUCAUAAUUCCCAUCAUAAUAAUAUGUUUUCUUUUCUCAAGGAAACUAUUUUAUUAUACCAUCAUAUAAAUUUUUUCAUAUGAAUGAGGGUCUUCUUCUUCUUUCAUAACAAUGACAGUGAAGCUUGAAAUUUGGUUAAGUUGGGUGUUGUUGGGUGAAACUGGUGUGGUGAUCCAAACAUACCACAACUUAGGAUUAUUAUUCCCCCACCCUAUUCGUAUUAAAAUCGUAAGUAUUCUUUUUUUUGUCGAUUUCAAACUCUGAUUAGCCUGUACUCAUAUGACGUGACAUACAAUUGAGAGAAAAUACUUACGGGACUAAAAUUUUUAAACUGAAAAGAAAAAGGAUUAAAUUUUUUAUUCUUUGAUUACAAUAUUGUUAUUUGUUUUAAAUUUCUUAUCAAAUGUCGGAAUAAAAAAAAAUGGGACCAAAGGUGUGUUCAUUUUCGAGUUUGGCUCUCAUCUGUAUAUAUUUUUAUCCAAUAUAGCUUUAAUCAUCGUUUAAAACUAUGGCUUUGACAAUUCAUAGAUUAGUACUACACAUUUGAAAAUCGAUGAAUAAAAAAGUAUCGAACAAGAUCCCGAAUCCAUGCUUUACAAAGUCAAAGUCAAGCUGUUAGAGGGAAAAAUGAAUAUGAUUUUCUUGUGGUGAUACAAGUCCCUUUGAAUAAUAGUAAAAAUAAAAAGGCCUAAUAUAUUUUUGGCAUAAUGUUAAAGUGAAUCUUUAAUGUUCAUGUUUUACAUAUUUAAACAUUGAUAAUUAACGUAUUGAAAAGCGAUGAAUGAAAAAGUAUCGAUACGGUUGAAAAAAAAUUAAGGGUAAACUACACCCAUGGUCACUUUUGUUUACUUUAAGUUACGUUUUAGUCACUUGUGUUUGAAAUGUUACGUUUUAGUCAUUUACGUUAUCAUGUUGUAACAUUUUAGUCACUGAGCCAUUAAUAGCCGUUAAUGGUGUAACGGUAAGCUGACGUGGCACGUUAAAUCAUCAUUUCAAACAAAAUUUUAGGUUAAAUUAUACAACUGAUCCCCAUAUUUUUUUCGUUUUAAGUAAUUUAAUUUUUUUCUUUUAUGUUCUUUAAACUUUUCUCUUUUUUUCCAUUCUCUUUUGUUUCUCCCUCUGUUUUCAUACCUUUCCCAUUUCAUGUAACAUAUUAGGAAGUCGAAUUGGCAAUGAAAAAAUAAGUAGGAAGUCGACUGUCAUCAUUUGCCUAUAACCAAAACCCAUAAACCCAUACCAUGCUUCUUUUUUCACUACCAAUUUGACUUCCUGGUAUGUUAAAAGAAAUAAAAAAGGCAGAAAAACAGAGGGAGAAGUAGAAGAGAAUGGAAAAAAAAAGAAAGAAAGUUAAAAGAACAUAAAAGAAUUAAAUUGCUCAAAACGAAAAAUUAUGGGGACCAAUUGUAUAAUUUAACCUAAAGUUUUUGUUUGAAAUGAUGAUUUGACAUGCCACGUCAGUUUACCAUUACAUCAUUAACGACAAUUAACGGCUCAGUGACUAAAAUGUUACAAUACGAUAACAUAAGUGACUGAAAUGUAACAUUUCAAAUAUAAGUGACUGAAAUGUAACCUAAGGUAAACAAAAGUGACCAUGGGUGUAGUUUACCCAAAAAUUAAUAAUACAUUAAAAUUAAAGCUAGAAUUGAAUUAUCUAAUUCUAUAUAAAAUUUAAAUUAUAAGGGCUUGAUGUGGUUGCAAAUAAGAUUUCUUUUUGUUUAUAUCUUGUGGUAUUAUAACAUUUAUUUCUAAUUAUCCUAAAUUCAAGGUGAAAGAUAUGAUUUAAUGCUUUUCUUAAUUAGUGUAUCAAAUUCCGCAAUGAUUUUUCUGGCCAAAAAAAACUUUAUACAAUUUUUAGAAAGAAAAUUUUAGCUUUGGAUAAAAUCGUGAUUCACCCCUGCAUGCUAGAGCGCUUUUAUAUGACAAGGCCACUCAUUGUUUCAUAUGUUUGUUUUUAAUGUUUAUUUUGUAGGUGGAGAUAACAAACUUUAAAUUAAAGAGUUAAUGGCACCAGACGUCCCCAAACUUUGAAAUAUUUUAAUUACAUCCUAAAGCUAUCGAUGUUACAUUUAUCAGGUCAUUCUAUUUCUAAAACCGUUAUUUUAACCUUUAAAUGACACAAAAAAAUCUUAUAUAACAUAAUUUAAAAAUGAAAAUUUAAAAAAAAAGGAAAAUGUUGUCACAUAGCCUCAAACCAAAGAUUUUUACAACACCCAUUUUUAAAAUAUUCAUCUUUAAAUUAUGUCACAUAAAAUCCGACAUCUCAUUUAACAAUUUUAGUAACGGAAGGACCUUAUUGACAUAUUACCAAUAGUUUAAGGAUAAAAUUAGAAUAUUUUGAAUUUUAUAAAAUUAAAUGAAUAUGUCACAUGCACACAAUUUUUUGUUUUUUUUUUCCUUGAGUAAAACUUAAUUUAACUUAAAUAUUUUUAUUCUAAUAAAAUAGUAAUAAUAGAAUGGUUUAAUAACUUAUUUUUUUCUCUCUUUUUUGAGGCUUCUAAAUUGAACCGUUUCUUAUUUUGGGGAAGCUGCAACCUUAUCAGCUAAGGCAGAAGUUGUCCCAUCCACACUCCCGGAAUCAUCUCCCACAGAGCUUUUAAACCUUUCAGCCAGUUUAGCCACCCCCGACUGAAACUCAGGGUCUGUUACUAUUUUUUUCAAUUGUUCCCCUUGUACUCCGCCUUCAUGCAAUGCAGCAAUAAAGCCGGACAUAACUGAAGCCGUAAAUACCCUCAUGGAUUCUGGGGAUGCUGCAACCUCAUCAGCUAAGGCAGAAGUUGUCCCGUCCACACUCCCGGAAUAAUCUCCAACAGAGCUUUUAAACAUUUCAUCGAGUUUACCCAUCCUCGACUUAAAGGUAGGGUCUGCUAUUAUUUUGUUGAAUUGCUCCCCAAAGUCGGACAUAGCAAGUUCUGGGGAUGCCGCCUCAUCCUCCUUUUUUCCUACUGCAAAUUGGAUUGAGAGCAUCAAAGCCAAUGAGAAUACAACGAAAGAAACCUUCGCCAUGUUUUUUUUUUGUUUUUUUUUUAAAAAUUUUAAGAAAAAAAAGUAAGAUAUAUUUUUAUCGAUGGAACUGAGACCAAUUUUAAAGAGUUUAAAAUGAGAUUUUUUUUGCCAAAUUUAGGGGCGGUUGAAUGGUCUGGUGCUUAAUAGCCAUACACCAUUAACAGCCAAAGUAUGUAAUUUUUCUUUAUUUUGACUCUUUUCUCUUUCUUCCCCCUUUUAUUGUUUCCCGAAAUAGGGUUUAUUUUAAUCAAGUUUCAAUGUUCUUCAGAUGGGAAGAAAUGGGACUUCAAGAUUAGGGAUUAAAACUUAAAAGGAAGAAGAUAAAUAGGGUAAAUAGGUAAUGAGUAUUUUGUGUAUAUUUCCAUUCAAUACAACUUUAAUCAUGGGCGAAGCCAGAACAAUUAUUUAGGGGGCGAAUGAAAUUUUAAUUUUUUUAUAGUCUAUAUCUUUAUAAUUUUUAAGGGAUCAAAUUGAAUUUUUAUAAUUUCAGGAGGGGCCAAAGUGUAAUUUUAUAAUUUUGUAAUUUUUUUAAAGGCCUAAAUAAUAAUUUUUCAUUUUAGGGGGGCUAGGGCCCUGCCAGCCCCCUAGCUGCGCCUCUGACUUUAAUCACCAUUUAAAAAUCUAAUUUUGACAAUUCAUAAAUGAGUCUUACAUAUUUAAACAUCGAUAAUUAAUGUAUUGAGAAGCGAUGGAUGAAAAAGUACCGAUAGACGUUGGAAAAAAUUAAUAAUGCAUAAUAUGAAUUAUACUUAAUGUUAAUAUAACAUUUAUUUUUAAUUAUCCUAAAUUCAAGGUAAAAGAUAUGAUUUAAUGCUUUUCUUAAUUAGUGUAUCAAAUUCGGAAAUAAUUUUUCAAAAAAAUAUUGGCCAAAAAACUUUACAAAAGUUAGAUCUUACAAUUUUUAGAAAGAAAAUUUUAGCUUUGAAUAAAACCGUGGUUAAUGCCACUCUUUACAAUAUUGAAAAAAAAUUUAUUAAACCUAAGCUUAGAACAUUAAGCGAACAUCAGAUCUAAUGUGUAUUAUCGUCCGUCACCAGUGACAGUUUAAUUUCAUAUUCAAGCGUACCUCUCACAUAUUAUAGUGGGCCUUCCAAAAUAAUCAAUCGUUCAAUUACAUCUUCAUCUGUCUGAGUUAUGCAGCCAGUAAUUUUAUUGACAUUCCGUUGAAUGUAUAUCAAUUUUUAAUAAUAAUAUAUAAAUGAAACAUAGUUAUAUGGUUCUAAUAAAAACAACUCGAAUCAAUAUAAGAAAAGGUUACAGACACACCAAAAGGGGCAAGGAUCGACUCUGCUUUUUGGAACAGGACGUCAUUCUCCGCUCCAAAUUGGCCUCCGUUGAUACAUAGUAUCAACAAACACAAUACGAUCUUUGUUUGUGGAGUUAAAAAUGAAUAAAGCUAAAUUGCAUAUAUAAUUCUUAAAAGGAAAGAAAAAGUAAAAGUAAAAUUGAGCACAUUACUUAGAAUCCGUAUGUUUCUAGCAGAGACGAGUCCUCCAUGAGGGAUGAAAUUGAAAAGUAAGAAUAAAGCCCACAGGAAGCAGCAAAGGAUGAGAGAAAAUGAAGCUUUCAUAAUUCCCAUCAUAAUAAUAUGUUUUCUUUUCUCAAGGAAACUAUUUUAUUAUACCAUCAUAUAAAUUUUUUCAUAUGAAUGAGGGUCUUCUUCUUCUUUCAUAACAAUGACAGUGAAGCUUGAAAUUUGGUUAAGUUGGGUGUUGUUGGGUGAAACUGGUGUGGUGAUCCAAACAUACCACAACUUAGGAUUAUUAUUCCCCCACCCCAUUCGUAUUAAAAUCGUAAGUAUUCUUUUUUUGUCAAUUUUAAACUCUGAUUAGCCUGUACUCAUAUGACGUGACAUACAAUUGAGAGAAAAUACUUACGGGACUAAAAUUUUUAAACUGAAAAGAAAAAGGAUUAAAUUUUUUAUUCUUUGAUUACAAUAUUGUUAUUUGUUUUAAAUUUCUUAUCAAAUGUUGGAAUAAAAAAAAAUUGGGACCAAAGGUGUGUUCAUUUUCGAGUUUGGCUCUCAUCUGUAUAUAUUUUUAUCCAAUAUAGCUUUAAUCAUCGUUUAAAACUAUGGCUUUGACAAUUCAUAGAUUAGUACUACACAUUUGAAAAUCGAUGAAUAAAAAAGUAUCGAACAAGAUCCCGAAUCCAUGCUUUACAAAGUCAAAGUCAAGCUGUUAGAGGGAAAAAUGAAUAUGAUUUUCUUGUGGUGAUACAAGUCCCUUUGAAUAAUAGUAAAAAUAAAAAGGCCUAAUAUAUUUUUGGCAUAAUGUUAAAGUGAAUCUUUAAUGUUCAUGUUUUACAUAUUUAAACAUUGAUAAUUAACGUAUUGAAAAGCGAUGAAUGAAAAAGUAUCGAUACGGUUGAAAAAAAAUUAAGGGUAAACUACACCCAUGGUCACUUUUGUUUACUUUAAGUUACGUUUUAGUCACUUGUGUUUGAAAUGUUACGUUUUAGUCAUUUACGUUAUCAUGUUGUAACAUUUUAGUCACUGAGCCAUUAAUAGCCGUUAAUGGUGUAACGGUAAGCUGACGUGGCACGUUAAAUCAUCAUUUCAAACAAAAUUUUAGGUUAAAUUAUACAACUGAUCCCCAUAUUUUUUUCGUUUUAAGUAAUUUAAUUUUUUUCUUUUAUGUUCUUUAAACUUUUCUCUUUUUUUCCAUUCUCUUUUGUUUCUCCCUCUGUUUUCAUACCUUUCCCAUUUCAUGUAACAUAUUAGGAAGUCGAAUUGGCAAUGAAAAAAUAAGUAGGAAGUCGACUGUCAUCAUUUGCCUAUAACCAAAACCCAUAAACCCAUACCAUGCUUCUUUUUUCACUACCAAUUUGACUUCCUGGUAUGUUAAAAGAAAUAAAAAAGGCAGAAAAACAGAGGGAGAAGUAGAAGAGAAUGGAAAAAAAAAGAAAGAAAGUUAAAAGAACAUAAAAGAAUUAAAUUGCUCAAAACGAAAAAUUAUGGGGACCAAUUGUAUAAUUUAACCUAAAGUUUUUGUUUGAAAUGAUGAUUUGACAUGCCACGUCAGUUUACCAUUACAUCAUUAACGACAAUUAACGGCUCAGUGACUAAAAUGUUACAAUACGAUAACAUAAGUGACUGAAAUGUAACAUUUCAAAUAUAAGUGACUGAAAUGUAACCUAAGGUAAACAAAAGUGACCAUGGGUGUAGUUUACCCAAAAAUUAAUAAUACAUUAAAAUUAAAGCUAGAAUUGAAUUAUCUAAUUCUAUAUAAAAUUUAAAUUAUAAGGGCUUGAUGUGGUUGCAAAUAAGAUUUCUUUUUGUUUAUAUCUUGUGGUAUUAUAACAUUUAUUUCUAAUUAUCCUAAAUUCAAGGUGAAAGAUAUGAUUUAAUGCUUUUCUUAAUUAGUGUAUCAAAUUCCGCAAUGAUUUUUCUGGCCAAAAAAAACUUUAUACAAUUUUUAGAAAGAAAAUUUUAGCUUUGGAUAAAAUCGUGAUUCACCCCUGCAUGCUAGAGCGCUUUUAUAUGACAAGGCCACUCAUUGUUUCAUAUGUUUGUUUUUAAUGUUUAUUUUGUAGGUGGAGAUAACAAACUUUAAAUUAAAGAGUUAAUGGCACCAGACGUCCCCAAACUUUGAAAUAUUUUAAUUACAUCCUAAAGCUAUCGAUGUUACAUUUAUCAGGUCAUUCUAUUUCUAAAACCGUUAUUUUAACCUUUAAAUGACACAAAAAAAUCUUAUAUAACAUAAUUUAAAAAUGAAAAUUUAAAAAAAAAGGAAAAUGUUGUCACAUAGCCUCAAACCAAAGAUUUUUACAACACCCAUUUUUAAAAUAUUCAUCUUUAAAUUAUGUCACAUAAAAUCCGACAUCUCAUUUAACAAUUUUAGUAACGGAAGGACCUUAUUGACAUAUUACCAAUAGUUUAAGGAUAAAAUUAGAAUAUUUUGAAUUUUAUAAAAUUAAAUGAAUAUGUCACAUGCACACAAUUUUUUGUUUUUUUUUUCCUUGAGUAAAACUUAAUUUAACUUAAAUAUUUUUAUUCUAAUAAAAUAGUAAUAAUAGAAUGGUUUAAUAACUUAUUUUUUUCUCUCUUUUUUGAGGCUUCUAAAUUGAACCGUUUCUUAUUUUGGGGAAGCUGCAACCUUAUCAGCUAAGGCAGAAGUUGUCCCAUCCACACUCCCGGAAUCAUCUCCCACAGAGCUUUUAAACCUUUCAGCCAGUUUAGCCACCCCCGACUGAAACUCAGGGUCUGUUACUAUUUUUUUCAAUUGUUCCCCUUGUACUCCGCCUUCAUGCAAUGCAGCAAUAAAGCCGGACAUAACUGAAGCCGUAAAUACCCUCAUGGAUUCUGGGGAUGCUGCAACCUCAUCAGCUAAGGCAGAAGUUGUCCCGUCCACACUCCCGGAAUAAUCUCCAACAAAGCUUUUAAACAUUUCAUCGAGUUUACCCAUCCUCGACUUAAAGGUAGGGUCUGCUAUUAUUUUGUUGAAUUGCUCCCCAAAGUCGGACAUAGCAAGUUCUGGGGAUGCCGCCUCAUCCUCCUUUUUUCCUACUGCAAAUUGGAUUGAGAGCAUCAAAGCCAAUGAGAAUACAACGAAAGAAACCUUCGCCAUGUUUUUUUUUUGUUUUUUUUUUAAAAAUUUUAAGAAAAAAAAGUAAGAUAUAUUUUUAUCGAUGGAACUGAGACCAAUUUUAAAGAGUUUAAAAUGAGAUUUUUUUUGCCAAAUUUAGGGGCGGUUGAAUGGUCUGGUGCUUAAUAGCCAUACACCAUUAACAGCCAAAGUAUGUAAUUUUUCUUUAUUUUGACUCUUUUCUCUUUCUUCCCCCUUUUAUUGUUUCCCGAAAUAGGGUUUAUUUUAAUCAAGUUUCAAUGUUCUUCAGAUGGGAAGAAAUGGGACUUCAAGAUUAGGGAUUAAAACUUAAAAGGAAGAAGAUAAAUAGGGUAAAUAGGUAAUGAGUAUUUUG